UACGUAGGGCGCAAGCGUUGUCCGGAAUUAUUGGGCGUAAAGGGCUCGUAGGCGGUCUGUCGCGUCGAAAGUGAAAACCCAGGGCUUAACCCUGGGCCUGCUUCCGAUACGGGCAGACUAGAGGUAUGCAGGGGAGAACGGAAUUCCUGGUGUAGCGGUGAAAUGACGCAGAUAUCAGGAGGAACACCGGUGGCGAAGGCGGUUCUCUGGGCAUUACCUGACGCUGAGGAGCGAAAGCAUGGGGAGCGAACAGG
Molecule: ribosomal RNA, 254 nt
Filed under: uncultured bacterium
Lineage: Bacteria
Description: partial 16S ribosomal RNA
Rfam family: Bacterial small subunit ribosomal RNA
Source: RNAcentral